UUUCCAUAUCUAUUUAUUCUCACCGUUAUCACGGUUAGCCCAUAUAUGUAUGUAUGUUAUACUCUGAAUUAUGGAGUUUUACGGAAGACGUACAUAUAAAGUGGUUUUUUGCAGUGCAAUUUCGUUUUUUCCAUAGAUAAUACAAUUAAUGAGUUUUUUCGUAACUGGUUUUAAUAGUGUCGAUAGUAAACUCUAAUAUUUGCAUCCAGCGUGCUAGUGUUACAAGUAAAUAAAAAAGUACACAUUUUUAUGGAGCCCCCGUAAGCGCAUAAACCUUUUUAUUGAACAUUAAAAUGUUUAUUAAGAUCGGUCUAAGUUAAAAAUAUAGUUGAAAUAUAUUCGUAUGGUUAUAUUCAUAUUUAGCUGAGACAAUAUAAAUAAUAUCAUUUAAAUCCUUAUCGCUAAGUAUAUUUUGAAAAUAUUAACAUCGACACUUUUCCUUUUUUAGAGUUAUUCUUGCUGUUCGAUCUUAUUGGUGUUCUAUUGGAUCUUAUUGGUGUUGCUUAUUGGUGUUCGAUCUGAGAUCAUUAAUGAAAAAUAUCAAAAAUUACUUCUCUAGCUGUUGGCAUCAGCGGGAUCGGCAACGAGCCUCUCCCCGUUCACAAGCAGGAGCCUAUCUCUUCGGAACCUUCGCAACCAGCGGCGCAGCGGUCGGGCGUACACUCCCAGCCGCACUGGAGCCCACGUCGGGUCCACUGCGCUGCAACCUGACCUGUUACUCAGAGCUAGCUGCUCGAAUGGCGCCAGCGAGGGUCGCUUACUGGAGAACGAAACGAACCAAGAGAAGUCCACUUCUGGACAUAAGCCUCCUCCAAGACUCGUCACAACGACCGGUCCUCUGUUGUCUGCACAGGUAUCCGCAACCUUCAACAUGUCGUUGGUCUCCCUUAUAGGCCUUCCUACCCUAGUCAUGUGCCUACUACCAUAUUAUAGCUAUAUUCGAUUGUAAACUAGUAAAAUAAUCGAAUUUUCAAAUUCCAUUUUGAAAACAGUAACGCAACCUCACCUGUACCACUCGAAUCCUUUGUGAUAAUAUUUAUCGAAGAAAUGGAUUUCGGAGACCGCAGCUCGGACGUCCGGAUGCAACCUGAUAUUAAAUAGACAUUGUAAUUUUUUACUGGUGGUAGGACCUCUUGUGAGUCCGCACGGGUAGGUACCACCACGCGGCCUAUUUGUGCCGUGAAGCAGUAAUGCGUUUCGGUUUGAAGGAUGGGGCAGCCGUUGUAACUAUACUGAGACUUUAGAACUUAUAUCUCAUGAAACCUCUAUGAAAUACUAGCUGUACUCGUCCGCUUCGCUGGGCAUUUAAAAUUAACAUUAUUAUUUCUCACCCCCACAAAAAUUAUCAUCAUUAAUGCCCCCGCAACUGGUGUGGGGAGACCAACACUCAUAUAAAUAUUAGCCUGUCCAUUAAGUACACGUAUUUUCUACAUGGAUACCAAUUUUCAAGUGAAUCGGAUGCAUGGUUCAGUAGUUAUAACGGAACAUCCGUAAAAACAACUGUAGAUUUAUAUAUUAGUAUAGAUGUAUCUUUAUGUCUAAAGGCUACCUUAAGAAUUCCAAGAGCGCUCGCGUACCACACUUCUUGACUCCAAUAAUGAGAGCGUCUGGGAGCCUCCUUACGGGCCCAGCGUUACGGCUCAAUCUCGUAUACUUGUAGUCUUCAACGUCAAAUCCUAGGAACGAAGCGAAACGGAACGCUCCGCUCUUGUACUUUGAUAUGUGGCUUUUCAAAAUCGUUUUCAGCGUGGGCUGAAAUUGUAAAUGAUUAAAACUAUGAAUUUAUUGAAGCGAAAAACAGUAGUUCAGUGGUAAUUUAAUAUGGAAAUCGUUUUUUAAAAUUGAUCUAAUUCAAGAAAAUAAGCUAAAUGGAUUCCGGUGAUAGAUUCUGCGAAGUACGGCUCUUGCUAGGGUUUGUGUUAGCAACAACGUCAGGCUUCUCGCCCGGUGACGUUGAUGUAGUCUAGACCACCAACUUAGGUAGGAAAAAAAAACACUAAAUGAAUAGAUACAGUUACGCCUUAUAAUAAUGAUUAGGAGGCUACAGUGUAAGGUAUCUGUUUUUCUAGGCCCUAAUACAUUAUGAUAUCAUCCCAAAACAGUGACAGACUUAGGCUUGAUGCCGCCGUAGGCCCUGUUAAUCGCGCCGCCCUUAAUGUUAUAAUAAAUUUUAAUAAUUUAGAUUCAAUAUUUUUAUUAUAUUUAUAAAAUAAAUUUAUUCCCUUAGAAUAACA
Long non-coding RNA from Bombyx mori (domestic silkworm), 2234 nucleotides. RefSeq lists it as uncharacterized. The transcript has 3 exons. NCBI's taxonomy places the organism in Eukaryota, Metazoa, Arthropoda, Insecta, Lepidoptera, Bombycidae. The record is from RefSeq and is a predicted model, not a curated record.